Molecule: ribosomal RNA, 789 nt
Filed under: Protoperidinium parthenopes
Lineage: Eukaryota; Dinophyceae; Peridiniales; Protoperidiniaceae
Description: LSU rRNA
Rfam family: Eukaryotic large subunit ribosomal RNA
Source: RNAcentral
ACCCGCUGAAUUUAAGCAUAUAAGUAAGCGGAGGAAAAGAAACUCAAGAGGAUUCCCUUAGUAAUGGCGAAUGAACAGGGGUAAGCUCAGAGUGGAAAUCGGGGCCUUUCUGGCUUCGAAUUGUGAUCUCGAGAUGUACAACCAGCAUGGGGUGCAGGUAUAAGCCUUUUGGAAAAGAGCACCAGCGAGGGUGAGAGUCCCAUUCGUUACCUGUAGCCCCCAGUGCAUGGUGUGCAUUCUAAGAGUCACGCUCCUCGGGAUUGGAGCGCAAAGUGGGUGGUAAAUUUCAUCUAAAGCUAAAUACGGGCCUGAGACCGAUAGCACACAAGUACCCUGAGGGAAAGGUGAAAAGGACUUUGGAAAGAGAGUUAAACAGAGCCUGCCAUUGCUGAAAGGGAAGCGAACGAAAUCAGUGUGACUGGGCGAGAUCGGGCCGUGCCAUGGUGAGCUUCUGCGAACUGGACGUGCGGCUCAUUUCUUGCCCUGUCGGUCAACAGUGCUGCAAGCGCGAGGAAAAGAGUAUUGGACUGUCAGCUCGCCUACGGGGGAGUGAAUGCCUUUGCUACUACUUGCGCGUGUAGUGCCGCUUGGCUAUAUGGUUUCUUUCGACCCGUCUUGAAACACGGACCAAGGAGUCUAACAUAUGUGCGAGUUUGCAGUGUUUAAACCUGUUAGCGCAAUGAAAGUGACUGCUAGAAAUUGUGCACUGGCAACCGACCAAUCGCUUGAGAAAGGUUUGAGUAUGAGCAUGUCUGUUAGGACCCGAAAGAUGGUGAACUAUGCCCGUGA